GGAAACCGAGUCUUAACCGGGCGUUAAGUUGCAGGGUAUAGACCCGAAACCCGGUGAUCUAGCCAUGGGCAGGUUGAAGGUUGGGUAACACUAACUGGAGGACCGAACCGACUAAUGUUGAAAAAUUGACGGAUGACCUGUGGCUGGGGGUGAAAGGCCAAUCAAACCGGGAGAUAGCUGGUUCUCCCCGAAAGCUAUUUAGGUAGCGCCUCGUGAACUCAUCUCCGGGGUAGAGCACUGUUUCGGCUAGGGGGCC
This 256-nucleotide ribosomal RNA is filed under the name Cronobacter sakazakii. RNAcentral describes it as "partial 23S ribosomal RNA". It matches the Rfam family "Bacterial large subunit ribosomal RNA", at positions 672 to 928 of the family's 2925-position model. The record is from RNAcentral. Lineage: Bacteria; Pseudomonadati; Pseudomonadota; Gammaproteobacteria; Enterobacterales; Enterobacteriaceae.